GAGGAGGAGGACAAGAAGAGGAGAAGAAUAAGAGGAGUAGGAGGAGGAGGAGGAGAAGAAAAAGAAGAAGAAGAGGAGAAGAAAAAAAUAAGAAGGAGAAGAAGAAGAAAAAGAAGAAGAAGAGAAGAAAAAAAUAAGAAGGAGAAGAAGUAAAGAAGAAGAGAAGAAGAGAAUAAGAAAAAAAUAAGAAGGAGAAGCAUUGAAAAAA
This 208-nucleotide long non-coding RNA is filed under the name Hordeum vulgare. RNAcentral describes it as "long non-coding RNA (HVUL_LNC012184)". The record is from RNAcentral. Lineage: Eukaryota; Viridiplantae; Streptophyta; Magnoliopsida; Poales; Poaceae.